RNAcentral lists this ribosomal RNA (120 nucleotides) under uncultured bacterium. Its description in RNAcentral is "partial 16S ribosomal RNA". It matches the Rfam family "Bacterial small subunit ribosomal RNA", at positions 215 to 334 of the family's 1533-position model. The record is from RNAcentral.
GCGCUUUUUGAGCGGCCGAUGCCUGAUUAGCUAGUUGGUAAGGUAAUGGCUUACCAAGGCAACGAUCAGUAGCUGGUCUGAGAGGACGACCAGCCACACUGGGACUGAGACACGGCCCAG